CAGUAGCCGCGGUAAUACGUAGGUGGCGAGCGUUGUCCGGAAUUAUUGGGCGUAAAGGGAGCGCAGACGGACAUAUAAGUCCAUCUUAAAAGUGCGGGGCUCAACCCCGUGAGGGGAUGGAAACUGUAUGCCUUGAGUGCAGGAGAGGAAAGCGGAAUUCCCAGUGUAGCGGUGAAAUGCGUAGAUACUGGGAGGAACACCAGUGGCGAAGGCGGCUUUCUGGACUGUAACUGACGCUGAGGCUCGAAAGCCAGGGGAGCGAACGGGAUUAGAUACCCCUGUAGUCCCUGUCUCUUAUACC
This 301-nucleotide ribosomal RNA is filed under the name uncultured bacterium. RNAcentral describes it as "partial 16S ribosomal RNA". It matches the Rfam family "Bacterial small subunit ribosomal RNA", at positions 509 to 808 of the family's 1533-position model. The record is from RNAcentral.